This 370-nucleotide long non-coding RNA is filed under the name Medicago truncatula (barrel medic). RNAcentral describes it as "long non-coding RNA (MTRU_LNC006639)". Lineage: Eukaryota; Viridiplantae; Streptophyta; Magnoliopsida; Fabales; Fabaceae. The record is from RNAcentral.
UCAACGAGACUUCGCCUAUGUUUCUAUUGGCGGUGGAUUUGUUGUGAACGUGCGUUUGGAGAGAUCUUACAAUUUGUAGCUUCUCUGUUAGUGGUGAAACGCAAAAACAAACACAUACUUCAUCUCCUAAUCUUCAUCUGUUUCCACUUUUUCCGUAUAUAUUCCAUUCAAGCAGUGUAGAUUUGAACUAUGAAUGAAUAUACAAAAGAAUAAUACUUAGCAAAAGCCUUAAAAAAAUAAAUAUAGCUACUUAUUAAUUAAUUUAUUGUAGGUUGGUUUUGGUCCCCAGCACAAAAAAGCAGACAAGAGGAAUUCCUCAAGCAACCUACCUUAUAUAUCUUGUGUUAUUUUCGAUCAUUGUACAGUUCCG